Long non-coding RNA from Limulus polyphemus (Atlantic horseshoe crab), 106 nucleotides. RefSeq lists it as uncharacterized. The transcript is spliced from 4 exons. The record is from RefSeq and is a predicted model, not a curated record. NCBI's taxonomy places the organism in Eukaryota, Metazoa, Arthropoda, Merostomata, Xiphosura, Limulidae.
GAAGAAAUACUUACCUCUUUAUCUUCUUCUGUCAUACUGUUCCAGUAUUCAGACAUACCUUUCACAUAUUGCUGGAAAACCAAUAGGGCAUAUCUUCUGUCCAACA